AGAUUUGCUCUUGCAAAGAAAUUCCAAACAUUGUGUGUAAGGAAUUGGACUAUUGUCGAUAUUAGUAUACAUUGGUGUAAUUUAUGCGAUGUUAUGGAUGUUUUGUAAUGAUCGUUCGAGUUAAUUAGACUGUCAGGUAGUUUUUAAAUAAUGCUAAGAUCAACUUAAAAUUAUAUUGCUGAAGUGCAAAUGAGAAGAGAACAAGACACAAGGGACAGCACAGGCUAAAGAAUAGACAAAUUGGCAUGGGUUAAGGAUUACAAUUGGCCAUAGCCCAAGGGAACCAUAAAUUAUUUUCAGAAGUUUUUUUCACUUCUUAACUUUCUGUUAACUCUCUUAUAGUCACAUUCAUAACAUAGAUCACGUGUGCAAUUGAAUAAAGCAAAAUUCUAUAUCUGUUACAAAUCUUGGCUUUAGUUUCCAUUUUUCAGUGAGAUCGCAGAAAAUUCUUCAGAGAUUGCAGUCCAUACUCCUCGAUCACAAAAUGCCUUACAAUUAUCCAUCUCUGCUUCGAUAGAGUUCCCCCAAAUCUCACUUCCUUUUGAGUUUACUUUAAAUGAAAUACGUUUCGCGUAAAAUUUCCUCAUGAUAAAAUUUCUUUCAGAUAAAAAUUUCUCUCGUCAAUAAUGUUCGGCGUGGUCAUGGUUCCCAGCGAAAGUUGCUAGUAGAAGAACGACGAAUUAUUAUAUCCCUCGGGUGGCGCAACGUCAGUCGACCAAGUGCACUUAAGCUCGAACAUGAAUGUAAUUCUCGCACGCUCGCGCGAGCCUAUCGUCACACAUGCGAAACACGUAUACACGAGGUAAAACACAGGGAAACAGCAGCGUGGCCGCGGUUUCGAAGCAUGCAUGCCAGUCAGGCUUCGUUCAAAGGCCCCCGAUUAAAUCUCACCUGGCUUAAUAUUAUUAUUUUACGUGGCGCCUGCGAGUGAAAACGAGCGACCCGACGAGAGGGCGAGGAAAUUAGAGAGAGUGCGAGGGGCGGGCAGGGAAGGUUGGAUAAUGCCAGUGGAUAAAAGCAAAUGGAACAGUGCAGGAAACACUGGCCGAAUAUCGUUCACGUGAACGAUCUUUGUACCGUCUAUGCAACCGUAAUUCCAGUUAUUUAGCCUCUCCUCCGACCUCCCCGGUUAUUCGUGAGUAGAAACAUUGUUCUGACUAGGUGUUUCCAGGUCUAUUACUACUCAAAACUAUCCAAGAACUGUUCAAAAAGAUGCUUUCGUCAUUAAGGAGUCGUUCGAUUGUUGUUUGCAAUUUAUUGGGUUCGCAACUAAGUAAUUGCGGAUUUUGUCAAUGUCAUCUAAUGACAAAAUCCGCAACCACUUAGUUGGCAAUCCAAUAUUAGAUUUUUUUGAGGUCGGUGGAGGAAUGUAUAGAGUAAGGAGGUAGGAAUUAAAUGAAGCUUUUACAGAAUCCAGAUGUUGCAUGGUUUUCACCCGUUCAUUGUGAAUCAGAUUUUUGUUACAUAUAAAUUGCCUUGUUAACAAAUAGUUCUGCGCCACACCUGUAUCUAUGCAGUUAAUCUUUAUAUGUACAUAAAUUGUAAUCAUUCGAACAUCUAUUACGUUCAUUAUAUCUAUUACAUCUAUCACACUAUGUAUACAGUGGUUCACGUGGAAGUAUUAUUAUAUAUACAUAAUGUAUUAUAUUAUACAUGUUACACGAGACAUUUUGAAAUAUCACGAGUAAAGAUAUGAUUGUAUUGGUUGCACAAAAGGUUUAGUUUUUUACGGCGAGUGUUCAAAUAUUGUUGGUAAAUUGUACAUGUCUUAAAGUUAAAUAUUCGUCGAUUAUUCAAGUGCUACGAAAAUAUGUGCGUUAUUGUAUAUCUGAUAGAAGUGGACAUUCGGUUUGUAUCACGCAUCUAAGUUGGUAUCAUACACAUAUCUUGAAAGUACGUGUCGACUGGUCAUGUGUAGUGAAUGUGUUAAUUACAAGUUUUAAUCGGUUCGUUUCAUUAUAUGUACGUUGAUAAUUCGUUCUGAAAGCAGGGGAAAAAGGAGAAGAUCGAAUCGAAAAUAAAACAGGAGAGGUAAAACGAAUUGAGAUCGAGUCUCUGCGAAAACAUUAAGAUCAAUCUGGUUUAGAGUUCCUACUCUCGAUCCGGUUCUUCGAGGAUGCGUUUAUUAAUCGUAGAAUUGCGAUCCUGCAGGUCGAUAGGGAAAAUAUUGCUAUGUAAUAUGUAGCCAUUCGGUUUUCAUCGUUAUAAUUUAUCAAUUGCUAAAUAAUUAUGCCACCUAUAAUAGCACAAAGUAUCGUAUUCUGUGAUACCUACACAAUAAAUUUAACGCAGGAACUCUAGUCACGAUAGUCUUCAAUUCUUCAGAUACAAAAUUCAAGAAAAUUUUCUUCUAACCUAACAUUAAAUUAUGUAA
Molecule: long non-coding RNA, 2374 nt
Organism: Bombus impatiens (common eastern bumble bee)
Lineage: Eukaryota; Metazoa; Arthropoda; Insecta; Hymenoptera; Apidae
Exons: 2
Source: RefSeq, a predicted model, not a curated record